RNAcentral lists this transfer RNA (66 nucleotides) under Pyricularia oryzae. RNAcentral's name for it is "tRNA-His". The record is from RNAcentral. Lineage: Eukaryota; Fungi; Ascomycota; Sordariomycetes; Magnaporthales; Pyriculariaceae.
CUUAGCAUAGUUUAAAGAUAAAACGGUGAUUAACCUCACUAUCAAGGUUCAAGCCCUCGUGCUUAC